RNAcentral lists this ribosomal RNA (395 nucleotides) under uncultured eukaryote. RNAcentral describes it as "partial small subunit ribosomal RNA". It matches the Rfam family "Eukaryotic small subunit ribosomal RNA", at positions 30 to 432 of the family's 1831-position model. The record is from RNAcentral.
GCUUGUCUCAAAGAUUAAGCCAUGCAUGUCUAAGUAUAAGCACCCUUAUACUGCGAAACUGCGUACAGCUCAUUAUAUCAGCAAUUAUUUAUUUGAAGGUCACCUAUUACAUGGAUAACCGUGGUAAUUCUAGAGCUAAUACAUGCGAAAAGUCGGCGCAAGUCGAUGUAUUUAUUAGAUAACAGACCAAUAUUCCUCGUGUCUAUUGUGGUGACUCAUAGUAACUGAUCGGAUCGCACGGGCUUGCCCGCGACAAACCAUUCAAGUUUCUGCCCCAUCAGCUUUCGAUGGUAGUGUAUUGGACUACCAUGGCUUUUACGGGUAACGGAGGAUUAGGGUUCGAUUCCGGAGAGGGAGCCUGAGAAACGGCUACCACAUCUAAGGAAGGCAGCAGG